RNAcentral lists this ribosomal RNA (460 nucleotides) under uncultured bacterium. RNAcentral describes it as "partial 16S ribosomal RNA". It matches the Rfam family "Bacterial small subunit ribosomal RNA", at positions 338 to 795 of the family's 1533-position model. The record is from RNAcentral.
CCUACGGGAGGCUGCAGUGAGGAAUAUUGGUCAAUGGACGAGAGUCUGAACCAGCCAAGUAGCGUGAAGGAUGACUGCCCUAUGGGUUGUAAACUUCUUUUAUAAAGGAAUAAAACGAGGCACGUGUGCCUUUUUGCAUGUACUUUAUGAAUAAGGAUCGGCUAACUCCGUGCCAGCAGCCGCGGUAAUACGGAGGAUCCGAGCGUUAUCCGGAUUUAUUGGGUUUAAAGGGAGCGUAGAUGGGUUGUUAAGUCAGUUGUGAAAGUUUGCGGCUCAACCGUAAAAUUGCAAUUGAUACUGGCAGACUUGAGUACAGGUGAGGUAGGCGGAAUUCGUGGUGUAGCGGUGAAAUGCGUAGAUAUCACGAAGAACCCCGAUUGCGAAGGCAGCUUUCUAAACUGUGACUGACAUUGAUGCGCGAAAGUGUGGGUAUCAAACAGGAUUAGAUACCCGAGUAGUC